UACGAGAGGCCCAAACGUUAUUCGGAUUUACUGGGCUUAAAGAGUUCGUAGGCCGCGCGGAAAGUAGGGUGUGAAAGCCCUCGGCUCAACCGAGGAACUGCGCUCUAAACUACCGUGCUUGAGGAACCUAGAGGUGAGCAGAACUGAUGGUGGAGCGGUGGAAUGCGUUGAUAUCAUCAGGAAUACCGGAGGCGAAGGCGGCUCACUGGGGGUUUUCUGACGCUGAGGAACGAAAGCCAGGGGAGCAAACGGG
This 253-nucleotide ribosomal RNA is filed under the name uncultured bacterium. Its description in RNAcentral is "partial 16S ribosomal RNA". It matches the Rfam family "Bacterial small subunit ribosomal RNA", at positions 524 to 776 of the family's 1533-position model. The record is from RNAcentral.